CUUCCUCGCCAUCUUCAUUGGCAGCUUGUCACUUCUGAUUGUGAUGGCUUUCCUGGUUAUGCUCCUUAGUUGGUGUGGCUCCCUGCUUGCCUGGUGUGGCUGUGACUGCUUGCUUGGAAGUGUGGGCUUUCAUUUUGCUUUCCUGGACACUGCAGUCUUUCUAGGAGGGAAAACCUGCUAACCCUCCUUUCUUGAAGUUUUGGCAGACAUCUCUGGCCUUUUUUCUAAAGGAUAGCAACCUUCUCUCUAUUGGCCAUCUUCGUCUUCGGAUAUUUCAUCCUUCUUACUGACAUUGUCUCCUUUGGAAGAGCAGCCAUUUCCUUUAUUUCUUGGUUUCUACCUGUAGUUGACAUAUUGUGACAUGAGAGGGAGGUGGUGGGUGGUGAUGGCUUGGGGGACCCAAGAAGAAGCUGAGCAGUGUUGAUGCAGGCUGCAGUGCUGAGGAUACUGUUAUAAAACUGGAAAAGAGACUAUUCGUUAAUGCUAAGAAUCAUUUAUAAGUAAGGUUAGAGGUAUAUUUUAACAAACUGGUUUUUGUCCAGUUUUGAAUUUUAAGCAUUUUUAGAAAUUCAGUUUAUAUAAUCACCUAAUACUAGCACAGCUGAGCUUUUUCUUGAUUGUUCUUAGCUUUUUUUUUUAAAUUAUUCUUGGCAAUAUUUAUGUUUCCAUUUCUGUUGUCUUGGGUCAGAGCUAUUUUGAUCACCAAUUGGAUUUUCUUUGUAUUCUGUUCAUUCCUAUCUCCCCAUAGUGCAUUCUUUACCCAACUGCCAGAUUGGUAUUAAAUUCUGCUCAGAAAUCUUAAUGUCUCUUAUUACCCAUAAAAUGAAAAUCCUAUUUAGUAUUCAAAAGCAGUAGAGAAAUGCUUUAUUUUAGACAGUGGCUUUCAAACUUUGUAAGAAAUAAUACGUUUUAUACUGUGGCUUAGUAUACACAUACAUGUAUGCACACAACUGAAACAAAAGUUUCACAGAAUAGAACCCCUCGUAAGUAGGAUAUACUCAUAUAUAUUCCGUUUCACUCUGCUGAUCUCCAUUUUUAAAUGCUGAGUUUUAUUCCAUAAGUUGAUUUCAUAACUCAUUAAAAGGUUAUCUGGAGUUUUAAAGUACUUUUGUUGGAUUAAAAUAGCAGAGAGGGAUGUCCUUUGGGGAAGGGAUACUUCCAGAAGUGAAGAAAGGCGUUUCGUAAUGGUGCUCUAUGCUCCAGGUAGGUUUGUCUAACCAGGAUGUCUUUACUGUAUCCAAGCUGCCUACACUUCAUCACCUCAGUAUAUUAACAUGCACACUCCGCUUCUGUGAAGAUGGACAUGUGUGGGGGCUUUGCGUUGGCUCGCAGAUUUAGAGGAUAAAAUCAUCUUACCCUCCUAAAAAUCUCCUAAAUUACAAGUCAGUGCCAAAAUGAGAUCUCUAAAGAUUGCUUCAGAAUGGCCCCCAUAUCUUUUCCUCCACUUUUCUGUGUUCUCCUACCUGUGCCAGACCCAACUUUUUAUCUCACAAGCUUACAAAAUCUCUCUCAGCCGCUUAGCUCUUAUUCUGCAUUCUUGCACUAGUUGUCUGCGUAAUAUUUAGCACUUAGAAUAUACUGCUGUCAUCUUUUCAUAGGCAUCUCCUGCCUUUCUAACUAAUGAAUCUGUUGAAUCCGUAUUUUUAAAUAUUCAGACAUAGAUUCACCAAAAUAUAAUUUGAAAAAAAUGUUCAUGGAUAUACUGACCCAGCCACCCUCCUUCCCUCUGUGUUAUUAUUAGCAGUAAUGGGUAUUUACCUUUCAAAGAAAAUGGUUGUAAUUGAGUAUCAGGAGGUAUAAUUUCUAACCCAUUGGUUCAUUUUAUGUUUAUGUUGUGUUAUAACCAGAUCAUAUAUAUUUAGAGAUUCUAAUCUGCAGCAGUUUGGAGCCAAUGCUAGACUAUUUUGUGUUUGAACUUACUAAUGCUUAUUUUAUCUUUUCAAGGGCUACAAAACUUUACAGAGGAAGUGUGAUUGCACUCUGCAUUUCCAGUGUAUUUUUCAUGCUUCCUUGGCAGUUUGCUCAAUUUGUGCUUCUUACUCAGAUUUCUCUUGCAUUUUGUUUUGUUUUGAUGUUUGGGAGCUCAAUGUUGUUAUUAUCCUUCUUUGGUAAUUAUUUGGGGUAAUCUGGCAAUGAAACCACAUUUCCUGAAAAUAAAUAUAUCUGAACUUAGUUUAUGGGUUAUUCAAGGAUGUUUUUGGUUAUUUGGAACUGUCAUACUUAAAUAUUUGACAUCUAAAAUUUUUGGUAUUGCAGAUGAUUUCUUGUGGAAGAAAUGGAGAAAAAAUACAGGAAGAAGAGAAGAAGAAAUGAAGACGGAAGCGAGUUCGACUCCUAUUCUCCCAGCUCUUCACUGCCUCCACUGCUCCCCAGGCACCUACAGCGUCCUGCGCCGCGUGACUUCUCCUCACCUCCAGCAACCCCUCACACCUCCCCCUGCAGGAAGCCUCCUGGCACAGGGACUUCAUCCUCUGUUCCUUCCUCUCUGUUGUCCUUCUACCUGGAGCUGCCAUCCUGGUCUCACUGGACUUUGCCCUUCACAGUGGAUUCCAAAGCAUGAGCUGGGCUGCUUUUGAAGGGUGAGAAAUGGGAGUUGACCCCGAUCAUAGAAACCAUACCAGCUGAAAGACAAAUCAGCAUCUCGCUGGAUGACCCCUCACAGGGCUCCUAGAUCCCUGAAGUGUGAACUUCAGCAGCUGAGAGGUAACAAUUGCACACAAAUCACACUAUCAUGCUCCAACGAAUGAUGUGGUCCUUGAGAAACAACAAGAUGUUAGAAUGAAUUCAGUCUCAGCACAAAAAGAUUAGAGUACUGUUUAAGGUUUUGUUUGGUAUUACUUUCUUCUAUUCAAACAGUAUUUCCUGAGGUUAACUUUCUUGGAAGAAGUGGAAUUAAUGGAGUUCUCACAUUCAGCCCUUCAGUUUAUCAUUGCUGAAUUCUUGAGUUAUGUUCAAAUGGGUAAUACAAUUUGUGUUUAGAAAACACAAAGUGGAAAAUUUAGAGAGAUUUAGAUUAUGUUUCUAUGUUCAUUUCAAAUGCCUUGGGAGCAUUUACUUCUUAAACAUUUCGUGAGGAAUAAACCAAAUAUAAUCAGUGCCCUCCUUUAACUCCCCAGCAAUCUGGGAUAGAUCAUACUCACAAUGUAUUUCCCAAGUAUCCUUUGUUACUGAAAAGGCAGUCUUUUCCCCGUAAGUACUCUCUGAGAACACCCAUCCCAGGUCUCCUUGAAAAGCAAAUGAGAGCUGAGCAUGGCAAACACACAAGGUCCAGCUGUGUACAGAUCAUCAGUAGAUGGCACGCACAUGCAUGUAUGUACCUAACAUGAAACCAGAUGUCCUUUCUCAGAUGACAGAUGUCAAGGCUGCAGUUUUCUUCUCUUGCCUCUUACUUUGAUGAAUAUAAACUAAGAUGAGAUUUCUAUUUAAUACAGUCACCUUGCUUUUCUUUUAAAAUACUCAUAGAAGGGGGUAGGGAUUGAUUAUAGGAGGGCUUUCAGUUAGGGAAGUAGAAGACUAAGUGCUUUGAAAAGCUUUAUGAAGAAUAAGACUACGAGAAAAGCUGUAGGUCUGCAAACACCCAAUAGAAAA
Molecule: non-coding RNA, 3588 nt
Organism: Chlorocebus sabaeus (green monkey)
Lineage: Eukaryota; Metazoa; Chordata; Mammalia; Primates; Cercopithecidae
Source: RefSeq, a predicted model, not a curated record